UACGAAGGGGGCGAGCGUUGUUCGGAAUUACUGGGCGUAAAGGGCGCGUAGGCGGCGACUCUAGUCAGAUGUGAAAGUCCUGGGCUUAACCUGGGGACUGCAUUUGAUACUGGGUUGCUUGAAUUCGGGAGAGGAUAGCGGAAUUCCCAGUGUAGAGGUGAAAUUCGUAGAUAUUGGGAAGAACACCGGUGGCGAAGGCGGCUAUCUGGACCGACAUUGACGCUGAGGCGCGAAAGCGUGGGGAGCAAACAGA
Molecule: ribosomal RNA, 253 nt
Filed under: uncultured bacterium
Lineage: Bacteria
Description: partial 16S ribosomal RNA
Rfam family: Bacterial small subunit ribosomal RNA
Source: RNAcentral